UGCUCUGAUAGCGUAUAUUAAAAUUGUUGCAGUUAAAAAGCUCGUAGUUGGAUCUCAGGUUGAGUGUGUCGGUUUAGUCGUUGUACUAUAACUGUUCACGCUUGCCUUUAAAGCUGCAUGUCGGUUAGUGGUGAUCUUUAUUGAUUGCUGCAUAAUUGCUGAGCACGUUUACCGUGAAAAAAUCAGAGUGCUUAAAGCAGGCCUUUGUGCUUGAAUGGUGGUGCAUGGAAUAAUGAAAUAGGACUUCGGUUACUAUUUUGUUGGUUUACGGUGCUGAAGUAAUGAAAAAUAGAGACAGACGGGGUCAUUUGUAUGGUGGCGGGAGAGGUGAAAUUCUGAGAUCGUUGCCAGACAAACUAGUGCGAAAGCAUUUGACCAGCAUGUCUUCAUUAAUCAAGAA
This 400-nucleotide ribosomal RNA is filed under the name phytoplankton environmental sample. Its description in RNAcentral is "partial small subunit ribosomal RNA". It matches the Rfam family "Eukaryotic small subunit ribosomal RNA", at positions 587 to 983 of the family's 1831-position model. The record is from RNAcentral.